This 158-nucleotide transfer RNA is filed under the name Anopheles darlingi. Its description in RNAcentral is "tRNA Tyrosine". It matches the Rfam family "tRNA". Rfam says of the family: Transfer RNA (tRNA) molecules are approximately 80 nucleotides in length. Lineage: Eukaryota; Metazoa; Arthropoda; Insecta; Diptera; Culicidae. The record is from Rfam by way of RNAcentral.
CCUUCGAUAGCUCAGUUGGUAGAGCGGUGGACUGUAGUACGACAUUUGCAGUUGCAGUUGUUGGGGUCGAUGAUCAUUUAUCGAUCAUCUCUUCCUACAGCAGUGACUCCAAAGCAAUAGCUAUCCAUAGGUCACUGGUUCAAAUCCGGUUCGAAGGA